This 497-nucleotide ribosomal RNA is filed under the name uncultured bacterium. RNAcentral's name for it is "partial 16S ribosomal RNA". It matches the Rfam family "Bacterial small subunit ribosomal RNA", at positions 29 to 507 of the family's 1533-position model. The record is from RNAcentral.
CGUGAACGCUGGCGGCGGGCCUAAUACAUGCAAGUCGAGCGAACAGACUAUGAGCGUUUUCUUCUAGGGGUAGCGGCUGACGGGUGAGUGACGCGUGGAUAACCUACCUAUAAGACUGGGAGAACUUCGUGGAACCGCAUCUGAUACCGCCGAACAUGUUGAACGGCUUUGGGCAACAGUUAAAGACGGUUUGCCUGUCACUUAUAGCAGUAUCCGGGCCGUAUUAGCGAGUUGGUAAGGUAACGGCUUACCAAGGCAACGACGCGUAGCCGACCUGAGGGGGGGAUCCGCCACACUGGAACUGAGACACGGUCCAGACUCCUACGGGAGGCAGCAGUGGGGAAUAUUGCGCAAUGGGCGAAAGCCUGAUGCAGCCAUGCCGCGUGAGUGAAGAAGGUCUUCGGAUCGUAAAGCCCUGUUAUUGGGGAAGAACAACAGCGUAAGUAACCAUGGCCGUCCUGACGGUACCCAAACAGAAAGCACCGGCUAACUUCGUG